CAGCCAUCCUGAAACUGUCCGAGCCUGAGCGGCGCCAUGACACCUGCAUAGAGUUCACAGUGAGAGGCUAUCCCUACCCAACGCUGCGAUGGUACCACAAACAGAGAGAGAUCCUGCAGAGUGAGUACAUCAGAACAGAGAUGGAUUUCUACCAGGACUAUCUGGAGGGAUGUCUAACGUUCAUCAACCCAACGCACUACGAUAACGGAAACUACACGCUGGAGGCCUCCAACUCCCUGGGCACCGUCACCAAGACCGUCUACGGACACUUCCUCACGGCGCCGCCCUUUGACCCUGACGAAAUUGUGGACUACGG
Molecule: non-coding RNA, 316 nt
Organism: Salvelinus sp. IW2-2015
Lineage: Eukaryota; Metazoa; Chordata; Actinopteri; Salmoniformes; Salmonidae
Source: RefSeq, a predicted model, not a curated record